This 468-nucleotide ribosomal RNA is filed under the name uncultured bacterium. RNAcentral's name for it is "partial 16S ribosomal RNA". It matches the Rfam family "Bacterial small subunit ribosomal RNA", at positions 28 to 507 of the family's 1533-position model. The record is from RNAcentral.
GACGAACGCUGGCGGCGUGCUUAACACAUGCAAGUCGAACGGAAAGGCCCUGCUUGCAGGGUGCUCGAGUGGCGAACGGGUGAGUAACACGUGGGUGAUCUGCCCCUUACUUUGGGAUAAGCCUGGGAAACUGGUCUAAUACUGGAUAGGACCAUGCUGUAGGUGGUGUGGUGGAAAGAUUAGUUUCGGUAAGGGAUGAGUUCGCGGCCUAUCAGCUUGUUGGUGGGGUAAUGGCCUACCAAGGCGUCGACGGGUAGCCGGCCUGAGAGGGUGGACGGCCACAUUGGGACUGAGAUACGGCCCAGACUCCUACGGGAGGCAGCAGUGGGGAAUAUUGCACAAUGGGCGCAAGCCUGAUGCAGCGACGCCGCGUGGGGGAUGACGGCCUUCGGGUUGUAAACUCCUUUCAGCCAUGACGAAGCCCUUGUGGUGACGGUAGUGGUAGAAGAAGCACCGGCUAACUACGUG